This 497-nucleotide ribosomal RNA is filed under the name uncultured bacterium. RNAcentral describes it as "partial 16S ribosomal RNA". It matches the Rfam family "Bacterial small subunit ribosomal RNA", at positions 28 to 507 of the family's 1533-position model. The record is from RNAcentral.
GAUGAACGCUGGCGGCGUGCCUAAUACAUGCAAGUCGAGCGAACGGACGAGGAGCUUGCUUCUCUGAUGUUAGCGGCGGACGGGGGAGUAACACGUGGAUAACCUACCUAUAAGACUGGGAUAAAUUCGGGAAACCGGAGCUAAUACCGGAUAAUAUUUUGAACCGCAUGGUUCAAAAGUGAAAGACGGUCUUGCUGUCACUUAUAGAUGGAUCCGCGCUGCAUUAGCUAGUUGGUAAGGUAACGGCUUACCAAGGCAACGAUGCAUAGCCGACCUGAGAGGGUGAUCGGCCACACUGGAACUGAGACACGGUCCAGACUCCUACGGGAGGCAGCAGUAGGGAAUCUUCCGCAAUGGGCGAAAGCCUGACGGAGCAACGCCGCGUGAGUGAUGAAGGUCUUCGGAUCGUAAAACUCUGUUAUUAGGGAAGAACAUAUGUGUAAGUAACUGUGCACAUCUUGACGGUACCUAAUCAGAAAGCCACGGCUAACUACGUG